RNAcentral lists this unclassified non-coding RNA (348 nucleotides) under soil metagenome. Its description in RNAcentral is "partial contains 5.8S ribosomal RNA, internal transcribed spacer 2, and large subunit ribosomal RNA". The stretch from base 1 to 120 matches the Rfam family "5.8S ribosomal RNA", at positions 35 to 154 of the family's 154-position model. The record is from RNAcentral.
GAUGAAGAACGCAGCGAAAUGCGAUAAGUAAUGUGAAUUGCAGAAUUCAGUGAAUCAUCGAAUCUUUGAACGCACAUUGCGCCCGCCAGUAUUCUGGCGGGCAUGCCUGUCUGAGCGUCAUUUCAACCCUCAUGCCCCUAGGGCGUGGUGUUGGGGAUCGGCCAAAGCCCGCGAGGGACGGCCGGCCCCUAAAUCUAGUGGCGGACCCGUCGUGGCCUCCUCUGCGAAGUAGUGAUAUUCCGCAUCGGAGAGCGAUGAGCCCCUGCCGUUAAACCCCCAACUUUCCAAGGUUGACCUCAGAUCAGGUAGGAAUACCUGCUGAACUUAAGCAUAUCAAUAAGCGGAGGA